ACCACCAACAACACGAUGAAGAUCCAGUUAAAUGAACCGACAGUUCAGACUCACCGAAUCAAACCCAGAUCCAAAACACUGAGUUGUCGGUGGCGAGUUCACUUCCACCUCUAGUUGGUGAGUCGUGUUGUUCUAAGCAAUUUUCACCAAAAUAUUCAAGAAAGAGGAGCUUGAUUUGCCUUUGAAAUCACAUAGAUCCUUGUUGUCAAUACUGUGAGCAACACCCUAAAUGGAUUUAUUGUUUUAGUUUUCAUUUUGUUCUUUGUAGCAUAUAGUUGUUUAUGGUUUUUGUAUUUUCAAGAAUGUUGCAUCAAAUGCCCUAAAAUUAAGAAAAUUAGUUUGAUUUAGUAUUGGGUAUUUUGAUUUUCUUAUAAAUUUCAGUUAAAUCCAUAAAAAUCCAAACUUUGUCAAAGGGUAUGUUGUUUUAGUUCAUUUUAGCAUUUGGGUCUUGUUGUUCUAAGCAAUAUUUACUAAAUGCCCAAAUAUUCAAGAAAAAGGAGUUUGAUUUAUCAUUGGGUGUUUUGUUUAUUAUCUUCAGCUGAUUUCACAUUCGAACUGAUCAUGAAUCCUGUGGUUAAAAGGAAACAAAUUUUGUUAUCGAGUUAGCAUCUGGCUCUUCUUAUCUUCAGAUCUUUUCACCAAAUGUCUAAGUAUUAAAGAAAAGGAAGUUAAGAUCUUAUCUUGAGAUAUUUUCAUAAUGAUAUCUAUGUCUAAGGAACUAGAUCUUCAUGUGGUGUCAUUGGUGGAAUGAGAAGAUAGAGAGAAGAAAGAGAGAGGAAGGUGGGGUGGGGUGAGAGUAGGGUUGUUAUUUUGUUUUUAUAAAGAAGUGGGUCCUACAAAUAAAUAAUUCUAUUUAAUAGGUUAAGUUAUUUUGUUUUAUAGUAAUGGUAUUUUUGUCAUUUCACAUUCUAUUAACUGAGAAAACUAACUGAUGUUAGGCCUAGGGACUAUCGGGGAACGAAAUUGAAAAAGUUGGGGACUAUAGCUGUAAUUUUAGAAAGUUAGGGACUAAAGAUGAAAAAAUGGCAAACCACAGGGACUAUCCGGGCAUUUAACUCGACUAAAAAUAUUAUUAUUGUUUAAAAGACCAAUUUAUCCUCAUUUUAGGGAUGUAUGUAUAAAUUAAGAGGAAAAAAGUUCUUAUUUUUUUGAGUAUCAUAAAAUGCU
This 1167-nucleotide long non-coding RNA is filed under the name Helianthus annuus (common sunflower). Its description in RNAcentral is "hypothetical non coding rna". Lineage: Eukaryota; Viridiplantae; Streptophyta; Magnoliopsida; Asterales; Asteraceae. The record is from RNAcentral.